This 24-nucleotide non-coding RNA is filed under the name Arabidopsis thaliana (thale cress). Lineage: Eukaryota; Viridiplantae; Streptophyta; Magnoliopsida; Brassicales; Brassicaceae. The record is from RNAcentral.
GAAAGCAUCAAUACAGUGUCUAUG